RNAcentral lists this ribosomal RNA (544 nucleotides) under Escherichia coli. RNAcentral's name for it is "partial 23S ribosomal RNA". It matches the Rfam family "Bacterial large subunit ribosomal RNA", at positions 349 to 901 of the family's 2925-position model. The record is from RNAcentral. Lineage: Bacteria; Pseudomonadati; Pseudomonadota; Gammaproteobacteria; Enterobacterales; Enterobacteriaceae.
GGCGUGCGAUACAGGGUGACAGCCCCGUACACAAAAAUGCACAUAUUGUGAGCUCGAUGAGUAGGGCGGGACACGUGGUAUCCUGUCUGAAUAUGGGGGACCAUCCUCCAAGGCUAAAUACUCCUGACUGACCGAUAGUGAACCAGUACCGUGAGGGAAAGGCGAAAAGAACCCCGGCGAGGGGAGUGAAAAGAACCUGAAACCGUGUACGUACAAGCAGUGGGAGCCUCUUAAUGGGGUGACUGCGUACCUUUUGUAUAAUGGGUCAGCGACUUAUAUUCUGUAGCAAGGUUAACCGAAUAGGGGAGCCGAAGGGAAACCGAGUCUUAACUGGGCGUUAAGUUGCAGGGUAUAGACCCGAAACCCGGUGAUCUAGCCAUGGGCAGGUUGAAGGUUGGGUAACACUAACUGGAGGACCGAACCGACUAAUGUUGAAAAAUUAGCGGAUGACUUGUGGCUGGGGGUGAAAGGCCAAUCAAACCGGGAGAUAGCUGGUUCUCCCCGAAAGCUAUUUAGGUAGCGCCUCGUGAAUUCAUCUCCGGGG